RNAcentral lists this ribosomal RNA (253 nucleotides) under uncultured bacterium. RNAcentral's name for it is "partial 16S ribosomal RNA". It matches the Rfam family "Bacterial small subunit ribosomal RNA", at positions 524 to 776 of the family's 1533-position model. The record is from RNAcentral.
GACAGAGGGUGCAAACGUUGUUCGGAAUUACUGGGCGUAAAGCGCACGUAGGCGGAUAUUUAAGUCAGGGGUGAAAUCCCGGGGCUCAACCCCGGAACUGCCUUUGAUACUGGGUAUCUUGAGUGUGGUAGAGGUGAGUGGAAUUGCGAGUGUAGAGGUGAAAUUCGUAGAUAUUCGCAGGAACACCAGUGGCGAAGGCGGCUCACUGGACCACAACUGACGCUGAGGUGCGAAAGCGUGGGGAGCAAACAGG